AGGCUUGAUCCUGGCUCAGAUUGAACGCUGGCGGCAUGCUUUACACAUGCAAGUCGAACGGUAACAGGUCUUCGGAUGCUGACGAGUGGCGAACGGGUGAGUAAUGCAUCGGAACGUGCCCAGUCGUGGGGGAUAACGCAGCGAAAGCUGUGCUAAUACCGCAUACGAUCUGCGGAUGAAAGCGGGGGACCUUCGGGCCUCGCGCGAUUGGAGCGGCCGAUGUCAGAUUAGGUAGUUGGUGGGGUAAAGGCUCACCAAGCCAACGAUCUGUAGCUGGUCUGAGAGGACGACCAGCCACACUGGGACUGAGACACGGCCCAGACUCCUACGGGAGGCAGCAGUGGGGAAUUUUGGACAAUGGGCGCAAGCCUGAUCCAGCAAUGCCGCGUGCAGGAAGAAGGCCUUCGGGUUGUAAACUGCUUUUGUACGGAACGAAAAGCUCUGGGUUAAUACCCUGGGGUCAUGACGGUACCGUAU
Molecule: ribosomal RNA, 477 nt
Filed under: uncultured Hydrogenophaga sp.
Lineage: Bacteria; Pseudomonadati; Pseudomonadota; Betaproteobacteria; Burkholderiales; Comamonadaceae
Description: bacterial SSU rRNA
Rfam family: Bacterial small subunit ribosomal RNA
Source: RNAcentral